RNAcentral lists this long non-coding RNA (280 nucleotides) under Mytilus galloprovincialis (Mediterranean mussel). The record is from RNAcentral. Lineage: Eukaryota; Metazoa; Mollusca; Bivalvia; Mytilida; Mytilidae.
GGUUCGAAUAGCUAUUUUUUCACUGAAAGUACUUGACGACAGUCUUUCAAGUAGGAUGAUGAAAAUGCAUAUUUUUGAAAAAAUAUAUUUUUUGUGUGUGAAAACUAGGGUUUAUAGUCUUUAUACACUAAAAAAAUCUAGUCUGCCCUUCCACGAAAUUUUUAAUUAGAUUUUUUUUAAAUGUUUAUGAAUUUUCGAAAAUUCCACCUGACAACCGAUCAGACAAUAGUUUUAAGUUGAAUCAAUGCAGACAAGAUCAUUAACUGAUGCCCAUUAGCUA